UAGGACAUGAUGGAGAAGUAAAAACCUGAAACGUCAUCUCCUCCCUAUCUCCCAUAGGGAGGAGAUGACGUUUCAGGUUUUUACUUCUCCAUCAUGUCCUA
Molecule: non-coding RNA, 101 nt
Organism: Pelobates cultripes (western spadefoot toad)
Lineage: Eukaryota; Metazoa; Chordata; Amphibia; Anura; Pelobatidae
Source: the annotation of a GenBank genome assembly